UCAUAUAGAAUAACCUAUUCGUCCACUGGAUUUUUAUCGUUCUAUUCGAAGGGAUAAUAUGGAAUAGUAAAAUAUGUUCGCAGCAUGGCAAAUCUACAGCGCCACGUUGCGGUGUAUGUAGGAAACACGUUGCAUUAAAUAGAUACAUAAUGGAUAGAGUGGGUAUUGAGACAUCUACGAUCGAUCGUUUACGUCUGAUAAACAGAAAAUAUUCGUUAGAACCAAAGCGUAACGUAUAUAUUAUUAAACGUAGUUUAUGACACAGUAAUCAACACGAGCUAUAUCGAUCUUCAAGUAAGACAUUUUUCCGUUUUUUACUCGUAACAAUGAGCGUGUCCCAUCAUUGCUUGCAAUACACGUCAUCGUUUAGUAUUCGAUUACUAUAUACCUGAUUCGAUUCAGAUCUUUAUCAGUGAAAUGGAAAAGGUAAACGAUGCGAAUCGUUAAAAGGAAAGUACAUUUUAGUUUAGUGAUC
Long non-coding RNA from Hylaeus volcanicus, 475 nucleotides. RefSeq lists it as uncharacterized. NCBI's taxonomy places the organism in Eukaryota, Metazoa, Arthropoda, Insecta, Hymenoptera, Colletidae. The record is from RefSeq and is a predicted model, not a curated record. The transcript is spliced from 3 exons.